RNAcentral lists this ribosomal RNA (375 nucleotides) under uncultured organism. Its description in RNAcentral is "partial 16S ribosomal RNA". It matches the Rfam family "Bacterial small subunit ribosomal RNA", at positions 527 to 897 of the family's 1533-position model. The record is from RNAcentral.
GUAGGUGGCAAGCGUUGUCCGGAUUUAUUGGGCGUAAAGCGAGCGCAGGCGGUUCCUUAAGUCUGAUGUGAAAGCCCACGGCUCAACCGUGGAAGGUCAUUGGAAACUGGGGAACUUGAGUGCAGAAGAGGAGAGUGGAAUUCCAUGUGUAGCGGUGAAGUGCGUAGAUAUAUGGAGGAACACCAGUGGCGAAGGUCGACUCUCUGGUCUGUAACUGACGCUGAGGCUCGAAAGCGUGGGGGAGCAAACAGGAUUAGAUACCCUGGUAGUCCACGCCGUAAACGAUGAGUGCGUAAGUGUUGGACGGGUUUCCACCUUCAGUGCUGCAGCUAACGCAUUAAGCACUCCGGCCUGGGAGUACGGCCGCAAGGCUGA